Molecule: ribosomal RNA, 497 nt
Filed under: uncultured bacterium
Lineage: Bacteria
Description: partial 16S ribosomal RNA
Rfam family: Bacterial small subunit ribosomal RNA
Source: RNAcentral
GAUGAACGCUGGCGGCGUGCCUAAUACAUGCAAGUCGAGCGAACGGACGAGAAGCUUGCUUCUCUGAUGUUAGCGGCGGACGGGUGAGUAACACGUGGAUAACCUACCUAUAAGACUGGGAUAACUUCGGGAAACCGUAGCUAAUACCGGAUAAUAUUUUGAACCGCAUGGUUCAAAAGUGAAAGACGGUCUUGCUGUCACUUAUAGAUGGAUCCGCGCUGCAUUAGCUAGUUGGUAAGGUAACGGCUUACCAAGGCAACGAUGCAUAGCCGACCUGAGAGGGUGAUCGGCCACACUGGAACUGAGACGCGGUCCAGACUCCUACGGGAGGCAGCAGUAGGGAAUCUUCCGCAAUGGGCGAAAUCCUGACGGAGCAACGCCGCGUGAGUGAUGAAGGUCUUCGGAUCUUAAAACUCUGUUAUUAGGGAAGAACAUAUGUGUAAGUAACUGUGCACAUCUUGACGGUACCUAAUCAGAAAGCCACGGCUAACUACGUG